Molecule: ribosomal RNA, 496 nt
Filed under: uncultured bacterium
Lineage: Bacteria
Description: partial 16S ribosomal RNA
Rfam family: Bacterial small subunit ribosomal RNA
Source: RNAcentral
AUGCACGCUGGCGGCGUGCCUAAUCCAUGCAAGUCGCGCGAACGGACGAGAAGCUUGCUUCUCUGAUGUUAGCGGCGGACGGGUGAGUAACACGUGGAUAACCUACCUAUAAGACUGGGAUAACUUCGGGAAACCGGAGCUAAUACCGGAUAAUAUUUUGAACCGCAUGGUUCAAAAGUGAAAGACGGUCUUGCUGUCACUUAUAGAUGGAUCCGCGCUGCAUUAGCUAGUUGGUAAGGUAACGGCUUACCAAGGCAACGAUGCAUAGCCGACCUGAGAGGGUGAUCGGCCACACUGGAACUGAGACACGGUCCAGACUCCUACGGGAGGCAGCAGUAGGGAAUCUUCCGCAAUGGGCGAAGGCCUGACGGAGCAACGCCGCGUGAGUGAUGAAGGUCUUCGGAUCGUAAAACUCUGUUAUUAGGGAAGAACAUAUGUGUAAGUAACUGUGCACAUCUUGACGGUACCUAAUCAGAAAGCCACGGCUAACUACGUG